CACCGACCCGUCUCGGGGUGUUUUUUCCUGCUAGCCUGAAAGGUUUGGGCCCAGAAUCGCCCCCCGAGAUGGAUGGGGUGCCAGACUGUGCCCUUGUUUGUCCUGAAGGCCAAGGGGCAGCGGGUGGUGGAGAGCCAGUGAAGUCUUCUGUUCUUCGGCUGUUUGCCCCUCUGGGGAGAGCAGCAAGUGAGAACUUGUGUCUCAACCCUUGA
This 212-nucleotide long non-coding RNA is filed under the name Struthio camelus australis. RNAcentral's name for it is "lncRNA (ENSSCUG00000005483.1)". The record is from RNAcentral. Lineage: Eukaryota; Metazoa; Chordata; Aves; Struthioniformes; Struthionidae.